RNAcentral lists this long non-coding RNA (7875 nucleotides) under Marmota monax (woodchuck). The record is from RNAcentral. Lineage: Eukaryota; Metazoa; Chordata; Mammalia; Rodentia; Sciuridae.
AUCACUGAUGUACAGAAAUGCAUUUGAUUUAUGAAUGUUGGUUUUAUAUCCUGAUACUUUGCUGAAUUCAUUUACUAGUUCUAGAAGUUUUCUGGUGGAAUAUUUUGGGUUUUCUAGGUAUAGAAUCAUAUUGUCAGCAAAUAGUGCUAAUUUGAGUUCUUUUUUACCUAUCUGUACUCCUUUAAUUUCUUUCAUCUGUGUAAUGGCUCUGGUCCGUGUUUCAGGAAUUAUGUUAAAUAGAAGUGGUGAAAGAGGGCAUCCCUGUCUUGUUCCAGUUUUUAGAGGGAACACUUUCAAUUUUUCUCCAAUUAGAAUAAUGUUGGCCUUGGGCUUAGCUUAGAUAGCUUUUACAAUAUUGAGCUAUGUUCCUAUUAUCUCUAGUUUUUCUAGUGUUUUGAGCAUGCAGUUGUGCUGUAUUUUGUCAAAUGCUUUUUAUGCAUCUAUUGAGAUGAUCAUGUGAUUCUUAUCUUUCAGUCUAUUGAUGUGAUGAAUUACAUUUAUUGAUGUCUGUAUGUUGAACCAACCCUGCAUCCCUGGGAUGAACCCCACUUGAUUGUGGUCCACUAUAUUUUUAAUAUGUUUUUGUAUUUGAUUUGCCAGAACUUUUUUGAGAAGUUUUGCAUUUAAGUUCAACAGGGAUUUUGGUCUGAAGUUUUCUUUUCUUUAUGUGACUUUGUCCAGUUUUGCUCUCACAGUGAUACUAGACUUAUAGAAUGAGUUUGGAAAGGUUCCCUCUUUUACUAUUUCAUGGAAUAAUUUGAGGAGUAUUGGUAUUAGUUCUUUGAAAAUCUUGUAGAAUGUGGUUGUGAAUCAGUCUGUUCCUGGGCUUUUCUUGGUUGGUAGGCUUUUGAUUGCAUCCUCUAUUUCAUUGCUAGAAUUGAUCUGUUUAAAUUGCAUAUAUCCUCCUGAUUCAGUUUGGGUAGAUCAUAUGACUCUAGAAAUUUGUUGAUGUCUUCAAGAUUUUCUAUUUUAUUGGAGUAUAAGUUUUCCAAAUAAUUUUUAUUAUCUUCUUUAUUUCAGUAGUGUCAGUGUAAUAUUUCCUUUUUUAUUAUGAAUUUAGUAAUUUGAGUUUUUUCUCUCUUUCUCUUUAUUAACAUGGCUGAUGGUUUAUCAAUUUUAUUAUUUUUUCAUAGAACCAACUUUUUGUUUUGCCAAUUUUUUGAAUUGUUUCUUUUGUUUUAAUUUUAUUAAUUUCAACUCUUUUUUAAAUAUUGUCUCUAUUCUAAUAUUUUUGGUGUUGAUUUGUUCUUAUUUUUUCCCUAGGGCUUUGAGAUGUAAUAUUAGCUCAUUCAUUCAUUGAUUUUCUGUUCUUUUAAUGAAUGAGCUCAAUGCAAUGAACUUUCCUCUCAGUACUACCUUCAUAGUGUCCCAAAGGUUUUGAUAUGUUGUAUCAGUGUUCUCAUUUACCUUUAAGUAUUUUUUUUAAAAUUUCAUCUCCGAUUUCUUCUGCUAUCCAUUCAUCAUUCAAUAGCAUAUUUUUUUAGUCUCCUGGUGUUGAAGUAGCUUUAAUUUUUAGUUUAUCAUUGAAUUGUAAUUUCAUUCCAUUAUGAUCUGAUAAAAUGCAGGGUAGUGUCUCUAUUCUUUUGUAUUUACUAAGAAUUGCUUUGUGGAAUAAUAUAUGGUUUGUUGUAGAGAAGGAUGCAUGUGCUGAUGAAAAAAAAGUGUAUUCACGUGUUGAUGGAUGGAAUAUUCUAUAUAUGUCUGUUAAGUCUAAAUUAUUGAUUGAAUUUUUAGUUCUAUAUCUUUACUUAGUUUUUGUUUGGAAGAUCUAUUAAGUGGUGGGAGAGGAAAGUUAAAGUCACCCAAUAUUAUUGUUCUGUGAUCUAUUUGAUUCUUCAAAUUGUGAAGAAUUUGUUUGAUGUAUGUAGAUGCUCCGUUGUUUGGGCCAUAGAUAUUUACAAUUAUUAUGCCUUGUUGAUGUAUAGUUCCCUUCAGCAGUAUGAAAUGUCUUUCUUUGUCCCUUCUGAUUAAUUUUGGCUUGAAGUCCACUUAUCUGAUUUGAAGAUGGAAAUCCAUCUUGUUUACGUGAUUCACAUGAGUGAUAUGGUUUUUCCCAUCCUUCAGUCUGUGGUUGUUUUUCCUAGGAGGUGAGUCUCUUGCAGACAGAGUAUUGUUGGGUCUUUAUUUUUUUAAUCCUAUCUUCCAGUCUAUGUCUUAAUAACAGAAAAUCAAUGAUUUUGAUUUUCUUCUAAUAAGUUUUUCUUCUAAUUUUGAAAAUUUCCCAGUAUACAGGAAAAUUUAAAGAGUAAUCUAAUGAACAUCUCUUACCUCUAUUUUUGACAUCUCCAUCCCAUUUUAGAGUAUUCCUAUAGAUUUAUGGAUCCAUUAGUUUCAACAUGCUAGCAUCUUUCUUUCUUUCUUUCUUUCUUUCUUUCUUUCUUUCUUUCUUUCUUUCUUUCUUUCUUUCUUUCUAUGAGGAUUGAACCCAGUGGCACUUAGCCACUGAGCCACAUCUCCAUUCUUUCUCAUAUUUUAAUUUGAGACAGAGUCUAACUAAGAUGCUUAGGGCCUUGCUAAGUUACUGAGGCUGACACUGAACUUGCAAAUCCUCCUGUAUCACUGGGAUUACAGGUGUGCACCACUAUGCCUGGCAGUGAUCAUCUUUUUUUUUUGUCUUAACUAACACUAAUUUAGACAAUGAGAUAUUUUCAAUACAGCUUUGAUACUAUUUGAUGAUGAUAACAUCAUUUGUUUUGGACAAUUUAAGACUUCAAUUAUAGGAAAAAUCUUUUUAUUCUGAUUAUUAAUAGGAUAUAGAAAUCCAGACACAAAUCUUACUAAAUCAUAUUGUUCAGAACUUAAUGUAAUCUUCUUUUAAGAUAUUUCAUCUGUAGUAUAAAGUGAUUUCAAUGUAUUAUAUAAAGACUUGGAUUUCUCUUUUUCACAUGGUGUUCUUUAACAGCUGAAGUGUUUUUAUUGAUAUCUUUAAUAACUUUUUGAAACUUCUCAUUAAUUGUAUUUAUUUAUUUAGCUGUGUUCAUGGUCAAACCCAGGACACUGUGCAUCAAGGACAAGUGCUUGCCUAGCAAACAACCUCCCCAGACCUUCUCAUCUGUUCUAAAAGUUGCCUCUGCACCAUUCAGUUGGAGUAAUUUAUAUUUCUCAGAUUGACAAUGUGCAAUAUAACAAUAAUGAAAAUCUACUUCUAUGAUAGGUUUUUGAAUUUCAAUUGACUCCAGAAGACAUGAAAAUCUUAGAUGACCUCAAUAGGAAUGUUCGAUACUACCCUGUUGUGGAUGUGUAAGUAAUUUUCAUAAAUAUAGUGCCUCAAUUUAUUUCUGGGGAUGAAUAUAACAUCAUUGUUGAAAGCUACCUCAAUACAUGGAGGACAGAGGCCAGUUUGAGUCAGGGAUGAGACAGGAGCUUUUAUGAGUUCUUGUCUCAGAUUCUUGCCAGAGCUCUGUUCUGUGAGUGGAACCAGAGUCAGCAUGGACUUCCACACAUGCACCUGGGCACUUCUCAUUCCGUGGAAUGAUCCAGAUAAACCAAUAUCAUUGCUGAAUGUACACCUGAAAGUAGGUCUCUCUAUCCUAUGAGUUUGUAGUGGAUAUACACUUUUGUUAUCACCAAUAUAAUGUUAUUAAGUAUUUUUAAAACAAGUUUUCUAUAUCUUCUCCCUUAUCUCUUAAUUUCUUAUCAGGUUAAGGGCAUCUCCAUCAACCCUGUGGUUAGAAGCUCUCAUCUCCUCCAUAUAAAAUUGUUCAUUAGAUUCUUUCAAUUUAAUGACUUUGAUAGUUUCAAGUCCCUCUCUUCCUUUUUGCUGCACAUUUGCUCAGACACAGAAACUGCUUUUGUCUACAGAAUAACUGUCAUUAAUGGAUAAAUAGAAACAGUGGGCUUUGAUUUUCCUGAAAUACAGAAAUCUCAAUGCAGAGGAUAAAGAAGUGUUAGAGAAUAGAGACUGAAACUGAAGGACAGCAUGGGGUGAAGCCUUAGUAAAGGGAAUAUAUAGCCAACAAAUGAUCUUUACCCUUCCUUCAUACUCUGAGGUUACAAAAUCUGAGAAAGAAAAUAUAUUAUGAAGGUAAGCAGGAGAACAGAUUCCUCUUGCCUGUGAGAAUUUAAUUCAUAUUAGAAACAAAUGUGAUACUGUAUGAAAGAGAUUAGCAUAAUAUAAAAUUGUAUGUGCUCAAAAAUUUGUAGAUAUGUCAUUACUAAUAUUUUUAUUAGUAUAGAGAAAGAUGAUGAGUUAUGUAGAGAUCAGAGAUUGAGGGAGUGGCAAGCAAUGAAUAAUUAUUGCUACCUAAGCAUUAUAAUAAAUAAUGAUUUUUAUAUUUUAUCUUCUUUGUAAAAUUUACACUUCCCCAAAUUAUAUGGUAAACUCUUAGGAUUUGGAACUCUAUGUUAUAAAUGAAAUUCUUUUCAUUUAUGAAUUUAACAGAACAUGCUGAGUGUGAUGGGCAAUAAGUAAAUGAUUAAUGAAUUAGCACAAUGGAAGUGAAGUUGCAGGCAGUAAUUUACACAGCCUGAAAUAAUUUUCUCAGUGUUGACCAAUGUCUGCACUUGUCCUUGUUCAGCAAGGAAGAAUCAAUUUUCUUUGAGAAAAUUGAGAACUGGAAGUUUCAUUGAGAACUGAAGGAAAUAAGAUGGGAUGAGAAACUACUUUCCUGUUCUGACAGAUGUGAAUGGGGAUAAAAAUAUGUUUAGAUUUUUGCCUUGGUGUAUUCUCUGUAUUAAAUUCCAGGUGAGAAAAUAGAAUUUGAACAAUUUAAUUAUGAUUUCCAGAAAAUACUUAAUAUAAUGUCAUGCUCAUGAAAUUAAGAAAGGCAUAGCUUAUAACCUUGCUCUAAGGAAACAAAAUUAUCAAACAUGACCUAAUGGAUGCUUUUGGAAAUCUCUUUACCAUUCUAGAAAUGGAGUCACUGAGCUGAUAUUAUGCACAUUUUUUUUCUCAUUGUAGAUUUUACGGACAUCCCAAUUAUCCAUAUUUUGAUGAAUGUUGACAUGGAGGCCUUUGUCAUCACUUUGACUUUAACCCCUGCUAAUCAAUAUUGAUGUGGGAGACAUCUCUGGUGGUUGGACACAUCAUUUCUAAUCCAUGCUGUUUGUCAAAUUCACGUUCACUGGAACUCUGCUCACAUAUCAGGAAGAAAAGGGGCUAAAUUUUUGUUGCCUUUAAAAAAUAAUAUAAAGUUAUUUUCCUAUUUAAUACUAAAACCUCAUCCAGCAGCAAAUCUAGGUGAAAUGUGGAGAGAAAGGGGGCUGGAGGGAGAAGGAAAUCCGAGCAAUGCACAUGUAAUUAAUGACUUAGCAUAAUUUGAAUAUGUAAACUUAUAUGGGGGUUGAAAGAAUGGGAAGAGGAAAUAAUAGACACCUAUGAUGGAACUCUUGAAACUGGAGUCUGAAUAGAGGCAUGGGAAAGAAAGGAAAGAGUCACAGAAUUACUUAGUGUGCAAUGUGUUUUAAGUAGUUGUUUUAAUCAGCAUUUUUUUUUUACUGUUCUAACCAAAAGACCUGACAGGAAUAAUUUUAAGGAGGAAGAGUUUAUUUUGGGGGUUCAUGGUUUCAGAGGUCUGGGUCCACAGACAGCUGGCUCUAUUCCUUGGGAGUAAAGGUGAGGCAGAACAUCAUGGUGGAAAACUGCAUAGAGGAAAGUGGCUCAGAACAGCAUACUAGGAAGUAAAGAGAGGGAGAGAGACAGAGAAAAUAUAUACCCCAAAGGCAUGGCCUAAUGACCCAACUCAUCCAGCCAUACCCACCUGCCUGCAGUUAUCAUCAGUUAAUACCUAUCAGGGGAUUAAUGCACUGAUUAGGUUAAGGUGCUCACAAUCCCAUCAUUUCACCUCUAAACUUUCUUGCAUUGUUCACACAUCAGCUUUUGGGGGAUACCACAUAUCUAAACCAUAAUGGUAGUAAAAAUGGGAGUGGUCACCAGAAGUGUGUCCUAGGCAUGAGUACAAUCCUGUGGGGGCUGAGAGGGACAACAGCCUUGAAAGAACAACAUUUUUUAUAGAUGUAGUUUUCUCCUUCCUUUCUGAGAUGAAAGUUUAUAGAUUCAAGUAUCUAGGGCCUGUUGAUACAAUUAUUUCUAUCAGGAUGAUUAGGAAAAUCAGGCCUGGCUGUCUCAGAAUAAUCACAUAGCUAGUGUGAUACACUAAAUCAUGGUCCUUAAUUAUCCCAUGCCCAAAUCCCUGGAACCUGAGGAUAUGUUACCUCUUAGUAUGUUAUUCUUCUGUGACUGCACAAUUACCCCUGGAUUAUUUAUCCAUAAAAAACAUCUGAAAUACAAAAGAUGUAAGGUAAAGUUUUGUAGGAAGAAUGAAAGAAUGAGUGACACAAUCAACUAAUAUAAAUGCUCUAAUUUGCUUUAAUGAUUAGGAAAUUAAACAAGUUAAAUAGGUGCAUAUUUUUAGAACAAGCAAAGUAUACUGGAAUCAUUGAAUAAAUAAUUAUGUUAAUAAAAGAAAGACAUACAAUCUAUAUGGUGAUGAUGACUUUAAGUUUAUAAAUAAAUAAAACACACACAACAACCCAUACGUUUGCUUAGAGAAGUCAUCAGAGAAAAUGCACAAUUGUUUUUUAUUUUCUAAACUUUUGGAAUUUGUGAGGAUUAUUUUCAUUUUCAAAAAAACCAAACAACCUUAUUGUAAAGCAUUUGUUUUAUUUUAAUAUGAGAAAAAGCAAGGAAAAUAACCAGAAAUAGUGGACCCUGCUUCCAAACCACCUCUACCAAAUUCAGAAAUCCUCGCCAUCCUGCCUAAAAGGAGGAAACUCUGGUAACAAUGUCAAUAUCUCAAGGUAAAUAUUCUUCAGAAUAUGAAAAAUAAAGAUAGGUGAUGAAUAGCACUGAAAGAGGAGAAGGGGUAUUAAUUACAUCAUACUCUGAACCCAUAAAAGAGAGGGUUUAUGGGAUGAUCCUCUUGGGAUAUAUUAAAAUCUCUGAAUUUAUACCCAAGUCCCUACUCUUAGCCCAGCAUACAUACACCCAAGCUCCCUCUUUAUGCACAGACUGCACAUUAAUGCCCAGUUCCCACAUCGCGUGGAUAUAAACUCCAAGGUGAGGUAGAGUUUGAUGCAGACUGAAUGUUCUAAGGGGAAUGAGAAGUGUCACCAAAAUGCUAUGGUCAAUGGAGCCUUAGGCACAGCUCUUAUACUUAGUUCAUGUGCCUAGUGUCAAUGAGGACUGUGUGGCUCUUUCCCACAAUUCACUCAGCAACAUGCUGAGCACCCUAUUUUUCUCUGCCUGUCCACAGUAUUUUCUCCAAGGUUCAGCUGUGAAACCUCCAGCCUCCUGAGUUUACUGAGGAAAUCACUGGCUCAUACACGGGGCUUUGGCACAACCAGUGUGGGCUCUUACAGUUGGCAAGGAUUCAAAGUUUCCCCAGUGUAUUUCCCAUUGGGUUGAACAACAAACAGAUCUCAGAGAUUUGAGGAAUGUUUAGCCCUACAGGAGAGGGAGGAGAAGACGGGCAUGGAGAAGGAGAGAAGGGUGGAAAUAGAAAAGCAGGAAUGAGAAGAGGGUGGAGAAAAAAAGAGAGUGCAUCCUUUAGUCCUAAGAAAUAGCCAUUCAUCUGCCUUAAGAAAAUAAUUACUUCUAUUUUUGCUUCACUCAUUUGCCCUAAAAGAGAUUUGUCCAUUUGCAGAGAACUGCAAAUAUGAGCUCAGCAAAAUUAUCAAUAAAUUUUUGAUAAUGAUCUGUUAGCCAGGUGUAAUGGUGUAUGCCUAGAAUUGCAGCUAAUCAGGAGGCUAGGACAGGAGAAUUGGCAAGUUCAAGGCCAGUCUGGGCAAUGUAGUGAGACUCAGUCACAAAAUAAAAUCCUUAAAAAGUGGGGAGGAUACUGGAGAUGCAAAUAUGUGGCAGAGUGCUCCUGGGUUUGAUGCUCAAUACUACCAAUAAAAUAAAAUAAAAAAAGAAAGAAAAGAAAAUUGUGUGCU